UAAAACGUAGGAGGCGAGCGUUAUCCGGAUUUACUGGGCGUAAAGGGCAAGUAGGCGGUUACAAAAGUUGGGCGUGACAACUCCCGGCUCAACUGGGAGGGGACGAACAAAACUAGGUAACUAGAGGGCAGGAGAGGGAAGCGGAAUUCCGAGUGUAGCGGUGGAAUGCUCAGAUAUUCGGAGGAACACCAGUGGCGAAGGCGGCUUCCUGGCCUGCACCUGACGCUGAUAGGCGAAAGCUAGGGGAGCGAACGGG
This 256-nucleotide ribosomal RNA is filed under the name uncultured bacterium. RNAcentral describes it as "partial 16S ribosomal RNA". It matches the Rfam family "Bacterial small subunit ribosomal RNA", at positions 521 to 776 of the family's 1533-position model. The record is from RNAcentral.